CGUGUCUAUGUGAGUUUGAAGGACCAGUCUCUCUCUGUUCUGUGUCUCACAGCUGACUAGGAACUUGCCAGGGAGCUCCCGGAGGGCAGAUCCCUUCCUGCCUAAAGGUUUUCAUCUACUCCCAGCUACAGGGGCAUUCUGUGACUUGAAAACAUCAGUGGAGAUGAACAAAGUUUCCAGCACUAGAGUUCUGAUACAGGGGUCCCUUAGGCAAUUUCUUCUAUGCAUCUGAUGAGAGGGAGGAUCUGGAAGUUGGCGAUGGCAUGAGUGGAGAUAGAAAAGCAGGCAGAGGCUGAGAAUACUUUUGAAGACCUGAAAUUUAGGCCACUGAUUAUUUUAUUUAUAAAGCAAGGACUAUGAUGAGAUGUUCACUCCUGGCUCAGGUAGUAAAAAUAUCUGUGAGGUGACGUGUAAGCAAAUGUGCAGCAAUCGGUUUAAAAUCAUCAAGAUGCUCAAAGAUGCACAGAUCUUGGGGUGACUCAGCCAGCUGCUGUCUGUAGGCAAGGGGUUCUAUAAACAGGUCUUAGACUCCAGGCAAGGCUUCUUGCCAUGUGGAUUGCAACAGUUCUGCCAGAUG
RNAcentral lists this long non-coding RNA (577 nucleotides) under Mus pahari (shrew mouse). RNAcentral describes it as "predicted gene 42948 (MGP_PahariEiJ_G0002878.1)". The record is from RNAcentral. Lineage: Eukaryota; Metazoa; Chordata; Mammalia; Rodentia; Muridae.